This 253-nucleotide ribosomal RNA is filed under the name uncultured bacterium. Its description in RNAcentral is "partial 16S ribosomal RNA". It matches the Rfam family "Bacterial small subunit ribosomal RNA", at positions 524 to 776 of the family's 1533-position model. The record is from RNAcentral.
UACGGAGGGUGCGAGCGUUAAUCGGAAUUACUGGGCGUAAAGCGCACGCAGGCGGUUUGUUAAGCUAGAUGUGAAAGCCCCGGGCUCAACCUGGGAUGGUCAUUUAGAACUGGCAGACUAGAGUCUCGGAGAGGGGAGUGGAAUUCCAGGUGUAGCGGUGAAAUGCGUAGAUAUCUGGAGGAACAUCAGUGGCGAAGGCGACUCCCUGGCCAAAGACUGACGCUCAUGUGCGAAAGUGUGGGUAGCGAACAGG